Non-coding RNA from Aphanomyces invadans, 45 nucleotides. The record is from Rfam. NCBI's taxonomy places the organism in Eukaryota, Oomycota, Saprolegniomycetes, Saprolegniales, Verrucalvaceae.
CAUUUGGUGUUUUUCAACACCACCCACUCAGACAGAAAGUUUUAU